AAAGGAGAAAUCCGCUUUGAGAUGGGCCCGCGGCGGAUUAGCUAGUUGGUGAGGUAAUGGCUCACCAAGGCGACGAUCAGUAGCCGACCUGAGAGGGUGAUCGGCCACACUGGGACUGAGACACGGCCCAGACUCCUACGGGAGGCAGCAGUGGGGAAUAUUGGGCAAUGGGGGAAACCCUGACCCAGCAACGCCGCGUGAGGGAAGAAGGUCUUCGGAUCGUAAACUUCUGUCCUUGGCCACCAUGUUUGACGGUACCCAAGGAGGAAGCCCCGGCUAACUACGUGCCAGCAGCCGCGGUAAUACGUAGGGGGCAAGCGUUGUCCGGAAUUAUUGGGCGUAAAGGGCGCGUAGGCGGUUAUACAAGUCAGAUGUGAAAUACCAGGGCUUAACCCUGGAGCUGCAUUUGAAACUGGAUAUCUUGAGGACAGGAGAGGAAAGUGGAAUUCCCAGUGUAGCGGUGAAAUGCGUAGAUAUUGGGAGGAACACCAGUGGCGAAGGCGACUUUCUGGACUGUAACUGACGCUGAGGCGCGAAAGCGUGGGGAGCAAACAGGAUUAGAUACCCUGGUAGUCCACGCCGUAAACGAUGAUCACUCGCUGUUUGCUCUUAAAGGGUCGGUGCCGCAGUUAACACAAUAAGCACUCCGCCUGGGGAGUACGGCCGCAAGGUUGAAACUCAAAGGAAUUGACGGGGGCCCGCACAAGCGGUGGAGCAUGUGGUUUAAUUCGACGCAACGCGAAGAACCUUACCAGGGCUUGACAUCCUACGAAUCCUUAGGAAACUAGGGAGUGCCCUUCGGGGAGCGUAGAGACAGGUGGUGCAUGGUUGUCGUCAGCUCGUGUCGUGAGAUGUUGGGUUAAGUCCCGCAACGAGCGCAACCCUUAUUUUCAGUUACUAACGAGUAAUUGGGCACUCUGAAGAGACUGCCGGGGACAACUCGGAGGAAGGUGGGGACGACGUCAAAUCAUCAUGCCCCUUAUGACCUGGGCUACACACGUGCUACAAUGGCUACUACAAAGAGGAGCAAGCCCGCAAGGGGGAGCGAAUCCUCAAAAAUAGUCUCAGUUCGGAUUGCAGGCUGCAACUCGCCUGCAUGAAGUCGGAAUCGCUAGUAAUCGCAGGUCAGCAUACUGCGGUGAAUACGUUCCCCGGGCCUUGUACACACCGCCCGUCACACACGAAAGUCUGCAACACCCGAAGCCGGUGAGGUAACCCGUAAGGGAGCUAGCCGUCGAAGGUGGGGCCGAUAAUUGGGGUGAAGUCGUAACAAGGUAACC
This 1280-nucleotide ribosomal RNA is filed under the name uncultured bacterium. RNAcentral's name for it is "partial 16S ribosomal RNA". It matches the Rfam family "Bacterial small subunit ribosomal RNA", at positions 202 to 1501 of the family's 1533-position model. The record is from RNAcentral.